RNAcentral lists this non-coding RNA (87 nucleotides) under Oceanicoccus sagamiensis. Its description in RNAcentral is "c-di-GMP sequence". It matches the Rfam family "c-di-GMP-I riboswitch aptamer". From Rfam's summary of the family: GEMM was predicted in a large-scale screen for bacterial structured RNA regulatory elements. Genes associated with GEMM are involved in a diverse array of functions, including chemotaxis regulation, signal transduction, secretion and chitin. The record is from Rfam by way of RNAcentral. Lineage: Bacteria; Pseudomonadati; Pseudomonadota; Gammaproteobacteria; Cellvibrionales; Spongiibacteraceae.
UUUGGAUAGCGCCAAACCGGUGGUGACAUCGGGACGGAAAACUACAGGUCUUUAUAGUAAUGACAUAAAGAUGGCUGAGUUACCCUU